Molecule: ribosomal RNA, 1501 nt
Filed under: uncultured Klebsiella sp.
Lineage: Bacteria; Pseudomonadati; Pseudomonadota; Gammaproteobacteria; Enterobacterales; Enterobacteriaceae
Description: bacterial SSU rRNA
Rfam family: Bacterial small subunit ribosomal RNA
Source: RNAcentral
AGAGUUUGAUCCUGGCUCAGAUUGAACGCUGGCGGCAGGCCUAACACAUGCAAGUCGAGCGGUAGCACAGAGAGCUUGCUCUCGGGUGACGAGCGGCGGACGGGUGAGUAAUGUCUGGGAAACUGCCUGAUGGAGGGGGAUAACUACUGGAAACGGUAGCUAAUACCGCAUAACGUCGCAAGACCAAAGUGGGGGACCUUCGGGCCUCAUGCCAUCAGAUGUGCCCAGAUGGGAUUAGCUGGUAGGUGGGGUAACGGCUCACCUAGGCGACGAUCCCUAGCUGGUCUGAGAGGAUGACCAGCCACACUGGAACUGAGACACGGUCCAGACUCCUACGGGAGGCAGCAGUGGGGAAUAUUGCACAAUGGGCGCAAGCCUGAUGCAGCCAUGCCGCGUGUGUGAAGAAGGCCUUCGGGUUGUAAAGCACUUUCAGCGGGGAGGAAGGCGGUGAGGUUAAUAACCUCAUCGAUUGACGUUACCCGCAGAAGAAGCACCGGCUAACUCCGUGCCAGCAGCCGCGGUAAUACGGAGGGUGCAAGCGUUAAUCGGAAUUACUGGGCGUAAAGCGCACGCAGGCGGUCUGUCAAGUCGGAUGUGAAAUCCCCGGGCUCAACCUGGGAACUGCAUUCGAAACUGGCAGGCUAGAGUCUUGUAGAGGGGGGUAGAAUUCCAGGUGUAGCGGUGAAAUGCGUAGAGAUCUGGAGGAAUACCGGUGGCGAAGGCGGCCCCCUGGACAAAGACUGACGCUCAGGUGCGAAAGCGUGGGGAGCAAACAGGAUUAGAUACCCUGGUAGUCCACGCUGUAAACGAUGUCGAUUUGGAGGUUGUGCCCUUGAGGCGUGGCUUCCGGAGCUAACGCGUUAAAUCGACCGCCUGGGGAGUACGGCCGCAAGGUUAAAACUCAAAUGAAUUGACGGGGGCCCGCACAAGCGGUGGAGCAUGUGGUUUAAUUCGAUGCAACGCGAAGAACCUUACCUGGUCUUGACAUCCACAGAACUUUCCAGAGAUGGAUUGGUGCCUUCGGGAACUGUGAGACAGGUGCUGCAUGGCUGUCGUCAGCUCGUGUUGUGAAAUGUUGGGUUAAGUCCCGCAACGAGCGCAACCCUUAUCCUUUGUUGCCAGCGGUUAGGCCGGGAACUCAAAGGAGACUGCCAGUGAUAAACUGGAGGAAGGUGGGGAUGACGUCAAGUCAUCAUGGCCCUUACGACCAGGGCUACACACGUGCUACAAUGGCAUAUACAAAGAGAAGCGACCUCGCGAGAGCAAGCGGACCUCAUAAAGUAUGUCGUAGUCCGGAUUGGAGUCUGCAACUCGACUCCAUGAAGUCGGAAUCGCUAGUAAUCGUAGAUCAGAAUGCUACGGUGAAUACGUUCCCGGGCCUUGUACACACCGCCCGUCACACCAUGGGAGUGGGUUGCAAAAGAAGUAGGUAGCUUAACCUUCGGGAGGGCGCUUACCACUUUGUGAUUCAUGACUGGGGUGAAGUCGUAACAAGGUAACC